GCCCCUCGCUUACACCAAGGCGAUAUCUGUUUAAACCAGGUUAUUUUGA
This 49-nucleotide transfer RNA is filed under the name Hylarana chalconota (copper-cheeked frog). Its description in RNAcentral is "partial tRNA-Val". Lineage: Eukaryota; Metazoa; Chordata; Amphibia; Anura; Ranidae. The record is from RNAcentral.